GGAUGCGAUCAUACCAGCACUAAUGCACCGGAUCCCAUCAGAACUCCGCAGUUAAGCGUGCUUGGGCGAGAGUAGUACUAGGAUAGGUGACCCCCUGGGAAGUCCUCGUGUUGCAACCC
Molecule: ribosomal RNA, 119 nt
Filed under: Helianthus annuus (common sunflower)
Lineage: Eukaryota; Viridiplantae; Streptophyta; Magnoliopsida; Asterales; Asteraceae
Source: RNAcentral